RNAcentral lists this ribosomal RNA (279 nucleotides) under uncultured bacterium. Its description in RNAcentral is "partial 16S ribosomal RNA". It matches the Rfam family "Bacterial small subunit ribosomal RNA", at positions 29 to 334 of the family's 1533-position model. The record is from RNAcentral.
AACGAACGCUGGCGGCAUGCCUAACACAUGCAAGUCGAACGAGACCUUCGGGUCUAGUGGCGCACGGGUGCGUAACGCGUGGGAAAUCUGCCCUUGGGUUCGGAAUAACUCGCCGAAAGGCGUGCUAAUACCGGAUGAUGUCGUAAGACCAAAGAUUUAUCGCCCAGGGAUGAGCCCGCGUAAGAUUAGGUAGUUGGUGAGGUAAAGGCUCACCAAGCCGACGAUCUUUAGCUGGUCUGAGAGGGUGAUCAGCCACACUGGGACUGAGACACGGCCCAG